UUCUACGGCCGUAUAACCAAGAUUGACUUCCGUAAAAGUGGUGAGAAGAGAGAGUGUGAUGCGGAUAAGAAGGAAAGGGACUGUCGAAAGAGACUCUGAGAGCGAAGAGGCUCUUUUGCUUUAACCACAACACUCCAAUAGCUCAAUUGAAACUCGCCUGCAGUCGAUUUGUUUUCUUGAUUUGACGAUGAAGGUCUCUAAUCUGACGAUCCGUACUAUACCAUUUAAAAGAAACUUGAAAAACAAACAUAUUCAUAAGAAGCUUGAUUGAGACGGAGGAAGAACAGAGGGACGAGAAGAUCGAGGAGGACGAAGAUGGAACUGGGUCUUAAAGAUACUCUAGAAUGGUUGUCUCCAUUGUCCGUAGAAAAAAAAAAAAAAGAGUCCGAAUUGGACCUAGGCUUUUCAGCGACAAAUGGCUCAUUUUGAGUUACGAUCGAGCAAA
Long non-coding RNA from Rosa rugosa (rugosa rose), 445 nucleotides. RefSeq lists it as uncharacterized. NCBI's taxonomy places the organism in Eukaryota, Viridiplantae, Streptophyta, Magnoliopsida, Rosales, Rosaceae. The record is from RefSeq and is a predicted model, not a curated record. The transcript is spliced from 3 exons.